AUUGAACGCUGGCGGCAUGCUUUACACAUGCAAGUCGAACGGUAACAGGCCUUCGGGUGCUGACGAGUGGCGAACGGGUGAGUAAUGCAUCGGAACGUACCCAGAGGUGGGGGAUAACGCAGCGAAAGCUGUGCUAAUACUGCAUGUGAUCUGAGGAUGAAAGCGGGGGACCGAGCAGCAAUGUUUGGCCUCGCGCCUUUGGAGCGGCCGAUGUCGGAUCAGCUAGUUGGUGGGGUAAAGGCCUACCAAGGCGACGAUCCGUAGCUGGUCUGAGAGGACGACCAGCCACACUGGGACUGAGACACGGCCCAGACUCCUACGGGAGGCAGCAGUGGGGAAUUUUGGACAAUGGGCGCAAGCCUGAUCCAGCAAUGCCGCGUGCGGGAAGAAGGCCUUCGGGUUGUAAACCGCUUUUGGCAGGAACGAAACGGUGUCCGCUAAUACCGGGCGCUAAUGACGGUACCUGCAGAAUAAGCACCGGCUAACUACGUG
Molecule: ribosomal RNA, 492 nt
Filed under: uncultured bacterium
Lineage: Bacteria
Description: partial 16S ribosomal RNA
Rfam family: Bacterial small subunit ribosomal RNA
Source: RNAcentral